RNAcentral lists this long non-coding RNA (1828 nucleotides) under Vombatus ursinus (common wombat). Its description in RNAcentral is "lncRNA (ENSVURG00010013909.1)". The record is from RNAcentral. Lineage: Eukaryota; Metazoa; Chordata; Mammalia; Diprotodontia; Vombatidae.
CAUUUUAUCUUCACAUCAACCCUAGGAGAUAGGUAUUAUUUUCUCUAUGACGACGUGGACUUGGAAGCUUUGGUAAAUGACAUGAACUCCUCAUUUGAAAGUUUGUAUUCUACAUGUAGCAUGCAGUCAGAAACUGCCCCCCUCCUUCAAAAUGGUCAACAUAACCGUAGCCAGUUGCCAACCUCAGGAACAAGUGCCCUCCAGCAGCAAGCGUCCCCAAAACAGAAAGUUCAGCGCUCUCAACCCAUGCACAUUCUAGCAGUCAGACGCCUUCAGGAAGAAGACCAACAAUUUAGAACCUCGUCUCUGCCCGCCAUACCAAAUCCAUUUCCUGAGCUUUGCAGCCCCACUAAUUCUCCUGUUCUCACAACAAGCUCUUUACCUCAGAAUCAACCAGCCAGCAAGCAGGUGAGUAAUUUUUGUACGUUUUGUCUGGUGUGCUUAGAAGACCAUGAGCUGGUGGUCCAAGUGGAAAGCACAAUGGGAGGUGAAAGUAAAUUUUUAUUCAGGAAGAAUUAUGCAAAAUAUGAGUUUUUCAAAAAUCCCAUGAAUUUCUUCCCAGAACAGAUGGUGGCUUGGUGUCAGCAAUCAAAUGGCAGUAUUCCCCAAACUCAGCUUUUGCAGAAUUUUUUAAACUCCAGCAGUUGUCCUGAAAUUCAAGGUUUUUUACAUGUGAAAGAGCUAGGCAGGAAGUCCUGGAAAAAAUUAUAUGUCUAUUUGCGAAGAUCAGGACUUUAUUGCUCCACAAAAGGAACUUCAAAGGAGCCAAGGCAUCUGCAGUUACUGGCUGACCUGGAAGACAGCAAUAUCUUUUCUCUGAUAGCAGGCAGGAAACAGUAUAAUGCCCCUACAGACUAUGGGUUUUGUAUAAAGCCAAACAAAUUAAGGAAUGAGACAAAAGACCUCAGGUUACUGUGUGCUGAAGAUGAACAGAGCAGAACGUGUUGGAUGACGGCUUUUAGGCUCCUCAAGUAUGGCAUGCUCCUUUAUCAGAAUUACAGAAUUCCACAGCAGAGGAAAGCCUGGCUUUCCCACUUCUCAACCCCCGUGCGCAGUGUGUCUGAGAACUCUCUCGUAGCAAUGGACUUUUCCGGUCAAACAGGAAGAGUGAUUGAGAACCCUGCUGAAGCUCAAAGCGCAGCCUUGGAAGAGGGCCAUGCGUGGAGGAAACGAAGCACAAGGAUGAAUGUCUUAGGUAGCCAAAGUCCCCUCCACCCUUCUACGCUAAGCACAGUGAUCCAUAGGACCCAAAACUGGUUUCAUGGAAGGAUUUCUCGGGAAGAAUCCCAUAGGAUUAUUAAACAGCAGGGGCUUGUGGAUGGGCUCUUCCUCCUUCGUGACAGCCAGAGUAAUCCAAAGGCAUUUGUACUCACACUGUGCCAUCACCAGAAAAUCAAAAAUUUCCAGAUAUUACCUUGUGAGGACGAGGGACAAAUGUUCUUCAGCCUUGAUGAUGGAAAUACCAAAUUCACCGAUCUGAUCCAACUUGUUGAGUUCUACCAGCUAAACAAAGGAGUUUUGCCUUGCAAACUCAAACAUCACUGUAUCAGAGUGGCCUUAUGACCUUGAAUUUGGCUCUUGGUUGAAGACUGGAUUUGCUAGAAGAAUAACUAAGAGAAAGUUAACACUGGAAUGGAUGAGCAGGUCUGUAAAUUGGUUUAAAAGUUAUGUUCUGCACCUCAAGACUCUCAAAGGGAUGGAUUCAGUGGGUGCCAACAGACCAAGAUCCUCCUGGUUUGUCCAACACCUAAGAAUGAUCUGCUGCUGAGUAUCCCAGCACACCUUCCUCCCCUUGCCAAAUAAAGGAAGGCAUGUAGAAUUGUGUGCA